UAGGGAAUCUUCCGCAAUGGGCGAAAGCCUGCCGGAGCAACGCCGCGUGAGUGAUGAAGGUCUUCGGAUCGUAAAACUCUGUUAUUAGGGAAGAACAAAUGUGUAAGUAACUAUGCACGUCUUGACGGUACCUAAUCAGAAAGCCACGGCUAACUACGUGCCAGCAGCCGCGGUAAUACGUAGGUGGCAAGCGUUAUCCGGAAUUAUUGGGCGUAAAGCGCGCGUAGGCGGUUUUUUAAGUCUGAUGUGAAAGCCCACGGCUCAACCGUGGAGGGUCAUUGGAAACUGGAAAACUUGAGUGCAGAAGAGGAAAGUGGAAUUCCAUGUGUAGCAGUGAAAUGCGCAGAGAUAUGGAGGAACACCAGUGGCGAAGGCGACUUUCUGGUCUGUAACUGACGCUGAUGUGCGAAAGCGUGGGGAUCAAACAGG
This 429-nucleotide ribosomal RNA is filed under the name Actinomycetes bacterium. RNAcentral's name for it is "Actinobacteria bacterium partial 16S ribosomal RNA". It matches the Rfam family "Bacterial small subunit ribosomal RNA", at positions 355 to 776 of the family's 1533-position model. The record is from RNAcentral. Lineage: Bacteria; Bacillati; Actinomycetota; Actinomycetes.